RNAcentral lists this unclassified non-coding RNA (247 nucleotides) under Hevea brasiliensis (rubber tree). Lineage: Eukaryota; Viridiplantae; Streptophyta; Magnoliopsida; Malpighiales; Euphorbiaceae. The record is from RNAcentral.
CUGGCGAUUGAUACAGAAUGUAUAUGGAAUGGGAGCAAAAAAGAUUGAGUGACAAGCUUACCAUCAACUGGGUGUUUGUCUGCAGCUAUCACCCUCUCUGAUGCAGGAAGCAAUCAGUGUGUUAAAGAGGUUAAACCGUGAUGCCAUUUCCUUCAAUGAGAAACCAUACAGCACUUCCAAAAGCUUGGUGAACAAUUUUCCAGGUCUCAAACUUGAGGUCUUUGAUAUAUAUCAGCCUCUGUUGGAU